RNAcentral lists this ribosomal RNA (665 nucleotides) under Petroscirtes ancylodon (Arabian fangblenny). RNAcentral's name for it is "partial 12S ribosomal RNA". It matches the Rfam family "Bacterial small subunit ribosomal RNA", at positions 513 to 1491 of the family's 1533-position model. Lineage: Eukaryota; Metazoa; Chordata; Actinopteri; Blenniiformes; Blenniidae. The record is from RNAcentral.
CACCGCGGUUAUACGAGAGGCCCAAGCUGACAGCUCUUCGGCGUAAAGAGUGGUUAAAAUAAGAACUUAUUAAAGUCAAACUCCCCCCUAACUGUUGUACGUACUUGGAGGAAAGAAGCCCUACUACGAAAGUGACUUUAAAGAAUUGAACCCACGAAAGCUAUGGCACAAACUGGGAUUAGAUACCCCACUAUGCUUAGCCCUAAACUUUUAUACUAACUCACAAAAAGUAUGCGCCAGGGUAUUACGAGCAUAAGCUUAAAACCCAAAGGACUUGGCGGUGCUUAAUAACCCCCUAGAGGAGCCUGUUCUAGAACCGAUACCCCUCGUUAAACCUCACCCUUUCUUGCCCAACCCGUCUAUAUACCGCCGUCGUCAGCUCACCCUGUGAAGGCCUCAAAGUAAGCAUAAUCAGAAUUACCUUAAAACGUCAGGUCGAGGUGUAGCAUAUGAAAGGGGAAGAAAUGGGCUACAUUUCCUAUUCUAGGAUAUACGGAAUGUGUGUUGAAACACAUACUAUGAAGGAGGAUUUAGUAGUAAAUAGAAAAUAGAGAGUUCUAUUGAAACCGGCCCUUAAGCGCGCACACACCGCCCGUCACUCUCCUCUAACCAAAUACAAAAAAUUUCCUAAAACAAUAAAAGGGACCAGAGGAGAUAAGUCGUAA